CAGCUAGUUGGCGGGGUAACGGCCCACCAAGGCGACGACGGGUAGCUGGUCUGAGAGGACGAUCAGCCACACUGGAACUGAGACACGGUCCAGACUCCUACGGGAGGCAGCAGUGGGGAAUCUUGCGCAAUGGGCGAAAGCCUGACGCAGCAACGCCGCGUGAGUGAUGAAGGCCUUCGGGUCGUAAAGCUCUUUCAGAAGGGACGAAACCGCCUCGGGACAAUACCCCGGGGCAUUGACGGUACCUUCAGAAGAAGCACCGGCUAACUCUGUGCCAGCAGCCGCGGUAAUACAGAGGGUGCAAGCGUUGUUCGGAAUUAUUGGGCGUAAAGCGCGUGUAGGCGGCAAGGCAUGUCGGGUGUGAAAGCCCUCGGCUCAACCGAGGAAGUGCGCCCGAAACUACUUUGCUUGAGUACCGGAGAGGAUGGCGGAAUUCCCGGUGUAGAGGUGAAAUUCGUAGAUAUCGGGAGGAACACCAGUGGCGAAGGCGGCCGUCUGGACGGAUACUGACGCUGAGACGCGAAAGCGUGGGUAGCAAACAGGAUUAGAUACCCUGGUAGUCCACGCCGUAAACGAUGGGCACUAGGUGUCGCGGGUGUUGACC
This 604-nucleotide ribosomal RNA is filed under the name uncultured delta proteobacterium. Its description in RNAcentral is "SSU rRNA". It matches the Rfam family "Bacterial small subunit ribosomal RNA", at positions 242 to 837 of the family's 1533-position model. Lineage: Bacteria; Deltaproteobacteria. The record is from RNAcentral.